Small nucleolar RNA from Esox lucius (northern pike), 131 nucleotides. The record is from Ensembl. Lineage: Eukaryota; Metazoa; Chordata; Actinopteri; Esociformes; Esocidae.
GUCCAAAGUGUUGAGUUCAGUUCUGGGCUUUUCCCCAGUCCUGGUAAUUACUCUUUGGCACAGAGAAUGGCAUAGAAUGGCUUUGUAUAGGUGGACAGGACAGCCACAUGAUUCCACUCUAGCCAACACCU